CCUACGGGAGGCAGCAGUAGGGAAUUUUCGUCAAUGGGCGCAAGCCUGAACGCGCAAUGCCGCGUGAACGAGGAAGGUCUUCGGAUCGUAAAGUUCUGUUGAAGGGGAAAAAGAGCGGAGAGAGGAAAUGAACUCCGAUUGAUAUUACCCUUCGAGGAAGUCACGGCUAACUACGUGCCAGCAGCCGCGGUAAUACGUAGGUGGCGAGCGUUAUCCGGAAUGAUUGGGCGUAAAGGGUGCGUAGGCGGCCUGCUAAGUCUGGAGUGAAAGGUACCGGCUCAACCGGUACAGGCUCUGGAAACUGGCGGGCUAGAGAGCAGGAGAGGGCGGUGGAACUCCAUGUGUAGCGGUAAAAUGCGUAGAUAGAUGGAAGAACACCAGUGGCGAAGGCGGCCGCCUGGCCUGUUACGGACGCUGAGGCACGAAAGCGUGGGGAGCAAAUAGGAUUAGAUACCCGAGUAGUC
This 464-nucleotide ribosomal RNA is filed under the name uncultured bacterium. RNAcentral's name for it is "partial 16S ribosomal RNA". It matches the Rfam family "Bacterial small subunit ribosomal RNA", at positions 338 to 795 of the family's 1533-position model. The record is from RNAcentral.